RNAcentral lists this ribosomal RNA (492 nucleotides) under uncultured bacterium. RNAcentral's name for it is "partial 16S ribosomal RNA". It matches the Rfam family "Bacterial small subunit ribosomal RNA", at positions 29 to 507 of the family's 1533-position model. The record is from RNAcentral.
AGUGAACGCUGGCGGUAGGCCUAACACAUGCAAGUCGAACGGCAGCACAGUAAGAGCUUGCUCUUACGGGUGGCGAGUGGCGGACGGGUGGGGAAUACAUCGGAAUCUACUUUUUCGUGGGGGAUAACGUAGGGAAACUUACGCUAGUACAGCAUACGACCUACGGGAGAAAGCAGGAGAUCUUCGGACCUUGCGCGAUUGAAUGAGCCGAUGUCGGAUUGGCUAGUUGGCGGGGUAAAGGCCCACCAAGGCGACGAUCCGUAGCUGGUCUGAGAGGAUGAUCAGGCACACUGGAACUGAGACACGGUCCAGACUCCUACGGGAGGCAGCAGUGGGGAAUAUUGGACAAUGGGCGCAAGCCUGAUCCAGCCAUACCGCGUGGGUGAAGAAGGCCUUCGGGUUGUAAAGCCCUUUUGUUGGGAAAGAAAAGCAGUAGGUUAAUACCCCGCUGUUAUGACGGUACCCAAAGAAUAAGCACCGGCUAACUUCGUG